UACGUCGGGGGCUAGCGUUGUUCGGAAUUACUGGGCGUAAAGCGCGUGUAGGCGGGUCUUUAAGUCGGGGGUGAAAUCCUGGAGCUCAACUCCAGAACUGCCUUCGAUACUGGAGAGCUCGAGUCCGGGAGAGGUGAGUGGAACUGCGAGUGUAGAGGGGAAAUUCGUAGAUAUUCGCAAGAACACCAGUGGCGAAGGCGGCUCACUGGCCCGGUACUGACGCUGAGGUGCGAAAGCGUGGGGAGCAAACAGG
Molecule: ribosomal RNA, 253 nt
Filed under: uncultured bacterium
Lineage: Bacteria
Description: partial 16S ribosomal RNA
Rfam family: Bacterial small subunit ribosomal RNA
Source: RNAcentral